UGCCUGGAAUGGUUUAUGGUUGAAAUGAUUCGUCGCCGUAGGAUGGGACUGCGGCCUAUCAGCUUGUUGGUGAGGUAAUGGCCCACCAAGGCGAUUACAGGUACGGGCUCUGAGAGGAGAAGCCCGGAGAUGGGUACUGAGACAAGGACCCAGGCCCUAUGGGGCGCAGCAGGCGAGAAAACUUUGCAAUGUGCGAAAGCACAACAAGGUUAAUCCGAGUGAUUUCUGCUAAAGAAAUCUUUUGCAAGUCAUAAAACCACUUGUGAAUAAGGGGUGGGCCAGUUCUGGUGUCAGCCGCCGCGGUAAAACCGGCACCUCAAGUGGUCAGGAGGAUUAUUGGGCCUAAAGCAUCCGUAGCCGGCUCUGUAAGUUUUCGGUUAAAUCCAUGUGCUCAACACAUGGGCUGCCUAAAAUACUGCCUACCUCGGGAGUGAGAGAGGUAGACGGUACUCGAUAGGAAGGGGUAAAAUCCUUUGAUCUAUCGAUGACCACCUGUGGCGAAGGCGGUCUACCAGAACACGUUCGACGGUUAGGGAUGAAAGCUGGGAGAGCAAACCCGAUUAAAAACCCCGGUUAGUCCCAGCUGUAAACGAUGCAUACUCUAUGAUGCAUUGGCAUAUAGCCAGUGCAGUGCCGCAGGGAAGCCCUUAAGUCUGCCCCUGGGAAGUACGUACGCAAGUAUAAAACUUAAAGGAAUGACGUCG
RNAcentral lists this ribosomal RNA (704 nucleotides) under crenarchaeote SCGC AAA008-L08. Its description in RNAcentral is "SSU rRNA". It matches the Rfam family "Archaeal small subunit ribosomal RNA", at positions 167 to 873 of the family's 1478-position model. The record is from RNAcentral. Lineage: Archaea; Thermoproteati; Thermoproteota.